UGGGGAAUAUUGCACAAUGGGCGCAAGCCUGAUGCAGCCAUGCCGCGUGUAUGAAGAAGGCCUUCGGGUUAUAAAGUACUUUCAGCGGGGAGGAAGGUGUUGAGGCUAAUAACCUCAGCAAUUGACGUUACCCGCAGAAGAAGCACCGGCUAACUCCGUGCCAGCAGCCGCGGUAAUACGGAGGGUGCAAGCGUUAAUCGGAAUUACUGGGCGUAAAGCGCACGCAGGCGGUCUGUCAAGUCGGAUGUGAAAUCCCCGGGCUCAACCUGGGAACUGCAUUCGAAACUGGCAGGCUAGAGUCUUGUAGAGGGGGGUAGAAUUCCAGGUGUAGCGGUGAAAUGCGUAGAGAUCUGGAGGAAUACCGGUGGCGAAGGCGGCCCCCUGGACAAAGACUGACGCUCAGGUGCGAAAGCGUGGGGAGCAAACA
RNAcentral lists this ribosomal RNA (427 nucleotides) under uncultured bacterium. Its description in RNAcentral is "partial 16S ribosomal RNA". It matches the Rfam family "Bacterial small subunit ribosomal RNA", at positions 355 to 774 of the family's 1533-position model. The record is from RNAcentral.